RNAcentral lists this ribosomal RNA (846 nucleotides) under uncultured Alphaproteobacteria bacterium. Its description in RNAcentral is "bacterial SSU rRNA". It matches the Rfam family "Bacterial small subunit ribosomal RNA", at positions 53 to 948 of the family's 1533-position model. The record is from RNAcentral. Lineage: Bacteria; Pseudomonadati; Pseudomonadota; Alphaproteobacteria.
ACAUGCAGUCGAACGAAGUAGUAAUACUUAGUGGCAGACGGGUGAGUAACAUGUAGGUAUCUGCCCUUUGGCCUGGAAUAACACGAGGAAACUUGUGCUAAUACCGGAUAAGUCUUUACGGAGAAAGCUUUAUGCACCAUUGGAUGAGCCUGCACUUGAUUAGUUUGUUGGUGGGGUAAUGGCCUACCAAGACUGUGAUCAAUAGCUGAUUUGAGAGGAUGAUCAGCCACAUUGGGACUGAGACACGGCCCAAACUCCUACGGGAGGCAGCAGUGGGGAAUCUUGCACAAUGGAGGAAACUCUGAUGCAGCGAUGCCGCGUGAGUGAAGAAGGCCUUUGGGUUGUAAAGCUCUUUCGUCGGGGAAGAAAAUGACUGUACCCGAAUAAGAAGGUCCGGCUAACUUCGUGCCAGCAGCCGCGGUAAUACGAAGGGACCUAGCGUAGUUCGGAAUUACUGGGCUUAAAGAGUUCGUAGGUGGUUGAAAAAGUUGGUGGUGAAAUCCCAGAGCUUAACUCUGGAACUGCCAUCAAAACUUUUCAGCUAGAGUAUGAUAGAGGAAAGCAGAAUUUCUAGUGUAGAGGUGAAAUUCGUAGAUAUUAGAAAGAAUACCAAUUGCGAAGGCAGCUUUCUGGAUCAUUACUGACACUGAGGAACGAAAGCAUGGGUAGCGAAGGGGAUUAGAUACCCUCGUAGUCCAUGCCGUAAACGAUGUGUGUUAGACGUUGGAAAUUUAUUUUCAGUGUCGCAGCGAAAGCGAUAAACACACCGCCUGGGGAGUACGACCGCAAGGGUUAAACUCAAAUGAUUUGACGGGGACCCGCACAAGUAGUGGAGCAUGUGGUUUA